This is a long non-coding RNA of Microtus ochrogaster (prairie vole), 254 nucleotides long. RefSeq lists it as uncharacterized. NCBI's taxonomy places the organism in Eukaryota, Metazoa, Chordata, Mammalia, Rodentia, Cricetidae. The record is from RefSeq and is a predicted model, not a curated record.
AUGUGGAAUCCUGUUGGUCUGCCCAGGUGACAACUCGCUGCUCAGAUCCUUGACUCCACGGCUUGGGCUUAAACGGAGAGAACAUCUCAGUUUCUGCUUUGCCCACGGCAGUGUCACAACUUCCCGAGAAGACGGAACCAAAGCAGGAAGUAUGUGUGUCUGCAGAUAGUGUCCUUUGUGGCAGGUGGCAGAGGAGGUCGAAGGUGUCGGAUUCCCUGAAGCUGGAGUUACAGGUGGUGUUGAGCCACCUGCUG